Molecule: ribosomal RNA, 294 nt
Filed under: uncultured bacterium
Lineage: Bacteria
Description: partial 16S ribosomal RNA
Rfam family: Bacterial small subunit ribosomal RNA
Source: RNAcentral
AAUGAACGCUGGCGGCGCGCCUAAUACAUGCAAGUCGAGCGAGAAGACGUAGCAAUACGUUUGUAAAGCGGCGAACGGGUGAGGAAUACAUGGGUAACCUACCCUAGAGUGGGGAAUAACUAGCCGAAAGGUUAGCUAAUACCGCGUACGCUCCUUGGACUUCGGUUCAGGGAGGAAAGCGAUGCCGAGGGUAUCGCGCUCUUGGAUGGGCCCAUGUCCUAUCAGCUUGUUGGGAGGUACGCUCACAGCUCGACGGUAGCUGGUCUGAGGAGGACGAUCAGCCACACUGGCACU